GACGAACGCUGGCGGCGUGCUUAACACAUGCAAGUCGAACGGAAAGGCCCUGCUUUUGUGGGGUGCUCGAGUGGCGAACGGGUUAGUAACACGUUAGUAACCUGCCCUUGACUUUGGGAUAACUUCAGGAAACUGGGGCUAAUACCUGAUAGGAGCUCCUGCUGCAUGGUGGGGGUUGGAAAGUUUCGGCGGUUGGGGAUGGACUCGCGGCUUAUCAGCUUGUUGGUGGGGUAGUGGCUUACCAAGGCUUUGACGGGUAGCCGGCCUGAGAGGGUGACCGGCCACAUUGGGACUGAGAUACGGCCCAGACUCCUAAGGGAGGCAGCAGUGGGGAAUAGUGCAAAAUGGGCGGAAGCCUGAUGCAGCAACGCCGCGUGCGGGAUGACGGCCUUCGGGUUGUAAACCGCUUUCGCCUGUGACGAAGCGUGAGUGACGGUAAUGGGUAAAGAAGCACCGGCUAACUACGUG
This 468-nucleotide ribosomal RNA is filed under the name uncultured bacterium. RNAcentral describes it as "partial 16S ribosomal RNA". It matches the Rfam family "Bacterial small subunit ribosomal RNA", at positions 28 to 507 of the family's 1533-position model. The record is from RNAcentral.